GCGGAUGAACUGUGGGUAGCGGAGAAAUUCCAAUCGAACCCGGAGAUAGCUGGUUCUCCCCGAAAUAGUUUUAGGACUAGCCUCAAGUUAGAUACCUGGAGGUAAAGCACUGAAUAGCCUAGCGGCCGAGAGGUUAGCGAAGCUUAUCAAACUCAGAAUGCCAGAGUAUUGAUGCUUGGGAGUCAGACAGUGUCAGAUAAAUGUCAUUGUCAAAAGGGAAACAGCCCAGAUCUACAGCUAAGGUCCCAAAGUCAGGUUAAGUGGAAAACGAUGUGAAGAUACGCAGACAACCAGGAUGUUGGCUCAGAAGCAGCCACUCAUUCAAAGAGUGCGUAAUAGCUCACUGGUCGAGCGUCUUUGCGCGGAGAAUUUAACGGGGCUAAACCUGACACCGAAGCUUAGGCAAUCCAGUAAUGGAUUGGGUAGGGGAGCGUUGUAUACGCGGAGAAACAGUAGCGUAAGCGGCUGUGGAGUGUAUAGAAGUGAGAAUGCCGGAAUGAGUAGCGCGAAUGCAGUGAGAAUCUGCAUGGCCGAAAGCCUCAGGUUUUUGGAGGAAGGUUCGUCCGCUCCAAGUUAGUCGGGAGCUAAGGUGAGGCCGGAAGGCGUAGCCGAUGCACAGACGGUAGAGAUUCCGUCACCACCAAAAGAGUUAAGCACAGGGACACAUUUGAAGUCUCAGAGCCGGGUGUUGGUUCCGGUAGAGAUCGAGGGAAGUUAGUACCGAAGUCUGGGAUGGAAGAUGGCGAGAAAAGCUGUGUGUAUUUCUGAGGUGCCCGUACCGCAAACCGACACAGGUAGGUAGGAAGAAGAUUCUAAGGCCAACGGGAGAAGGGUUGUUAAGGAACUCGGCAAAUUGACCCCGUAACUUCGGGAGAAGGGGUGCUCCAGAGAUGGAGCCGCAGAGAAUCGGCCCAAGCAACUGUUUACCAAAAACACAGGUUUGUGCUAAAUCGAAAGAUGACGUAUACGAGCUGACGCCUGCCCGGUGCUGGAAGGUUAAGAGGAGAUGUGCAAGCAUUGAAUCGAAGCCCCAGUGAACGGCGGCCGUAACUAUAACGGUCCUAAGGUAGCGAAAUUCCUUGUCAGGUAAGUUCUGACCCGCAUGAAAGGCGUAAUGAUUUGGGCACUGUCUCAACAGCCCGCCCGGCGAAAUUGUAGUACCGGUGAAGAUGCCGGUUACCCGCGACAAGACGGAAAGACCCCAUGGAGCUUUACUGUAGCCUAAUAUUGGGUUUCGAUGUUGCAUGCACAGGAUAGAUGGGACACUGGGAAACAGGAGCUUUGGCUUCUGCGGAGUGGCCGUUGGGAUACCAUCCUUGCGAUAUUGGAAUUCUAACCUGCGGCUCUGAAUCGAGUCGGGGGACAUUGUUAGGUGGGCAGUUUGACUGGGGCGGUCGCCUCCUAAAAAGUAACGGAGGCGUUCAAAGGUUCGCUCAGCUUGAACGGAAAUCAAGCAAAAGAGUGCAAACGCAGAAGCGAGCCUAACUGCGAGACUGACGGGUCGAGCAGUAACGAAAGUUGGAGUUAGUGAUCCGGUGGUAUGUGAGUGGAAAUGCCAUCGCUCAACGGAUAAAAGUUACCCUGGGGAUAACAGGCUGAUCUCCCCCAAGAGUCCACAUCGACGGGGAGGUUUGGCACCUCGAUGUCGGCUCAUC
Molecule: ribosomal RNA, 1655 nt
Filed under: human gut metagenome
Description: bacterial LSU rRNA
Rfam family: Bacterial large subunit ribosomal RNA
Source: RNAcentral